GGGUGGGUUACCUGGGUAGGAUUGGGUGGUCUGGGGGCGUCUCUCCAGGGUGGGCGCCAGGCAGGCUCCAGUCCUUCCCUCCCUGAGCUGUUUGCUCAUCAGCAGAGUGUGGCCGUCAGCCUCUGGGAUGUCCGGGGGGCAGUCCUAGGGAUGGACAGGGGCUCCUUGCUGGCCGGGCAGCACAGGACUGGUGCUCUUGCUUUUUUUGGCUGCACUGGCUCUUUGUUGCAGCCCAUGGGCUUCAUUGCCCGGUGGUACGUGGCAUCUUAGUUCCUCGACCAGGGGUUAAACCCACGUCCCCUACGUUGGAAGGCGGAUCCUUAACUGCUGGACCACCAGGGACGUCGCAGGCUCAUGCUCUUGAAAGAGGAAAAUCAGAAAGGACAGAUAAUGCCAGUAAAAAAGGGAAAAAACCCUCAGCCGGCCACAAAGCAUCCCUCCGCCCCGAUGCACUGCAGCCCCAGCGUCUGCGUAUGCUCUUCCAGACUCUUUUCUUGGGUGAGAAAAAUGAAAUUCGGUUCAAAAGACUGUUUAUGGAAAACAGAUUCUGUGCCCAGCGUUGGCUGAGCAGUGGGGAGCUCAGCCCAGGGGAACCCUGGGGCUGGGGCGGGAGGAGGCGCCGAGACCCCUGUCCCAUUCGCUGCCCCCAUGGGGUCAGCCUGGGGGCAUGGGGCAUGGGGCAUGGGGGAGCCCUUGGGGUUUCCUGGGGCUGCGGUGACACGUGACCACAAACCAGCUGGCUUAAAACCACAGACGUGUGUUCUCUCGCACUGUGCAGACCCAGGUGUCGGCCGGGCUGGGUCCUUCUAGACGCUCUAGGAAGAAUCUGGUCCAGGCCUCGUCUCAGCUUCAGUGAUGCCCAGCCUCCUUGGCCGGUGGAGGUACGACUAAUCUCUGCCCCUGCCUGCACGCACCCUGUGUAUGUGCGUGUGUCUCUGUCUCUUUAGUCUUUUUUAAGGACACUCAUCAUUGAAUUCGGGCUUCCCAGGUGGCACAGUGGUAAAGAAUCUGCCUGCUGAAGCAGGAGACUCAAGAGAGGAAGGUUCAAUCCCUGGGCUAGGAAGAUCCUCUGGACAAGGAAAUGGCCACCCACUCCAGUGUUCUUGCCUGGAAAAUCCCAUGGACAGAGGGGCCUGGAGGGCUACAGUCCAUGGGGUCACAAAGAGUUGGAUACUUAAUAAGCACACACGCACGAUCGUUGAAUUCAAGGCCAACCCUCAUGGAGGACAAUCUCAUCUUAAGAUCUUUAUCUUAAUUAUAUCUGCAAAGACCUUAUUUCCAAAUAAAGUCACAUUCUGAGGUUCUAGGUGGACA
This 1314-nucleotide long non-coding RNA is filed under the name Bos indicus x Bos taurus (hybrid cattle). RNAcentral's name for it is "lncRNA (ENSBIXG00005017199.1)". Lineage: Eukaryota; Metazoa; Chordata; Mammalia; Artiodactyla; Bovidae. The record is from RNAcentral.